This 125-nucleotide small RNA is filed under the name Marmota monax (woodchuck). Lineage: Eukaryota; Metazoa; Chordata; Mammalia; Rodentia; Sciuridae. The record is from RNAcentral.
GCAGGGCAUGGUGGUGCAAGCCUGUAAUCUCAGCAGCUCAGGAGGCUGAGGCAGGAGGAUCGCCAGUUCAAAGCCAGCCUCAGCAAUGGCGAGGCCCUAAGCAACUCAGUGAGACUCUGUCUCUA